UACAGAGGAGGCAAGCGUUGUUCGGAAUCACUGGGCUUAAAGCGCGUGUAGGUGGUCUAGCAAGUACUUUGUGAAAUGCCUGGGCUCAACCUGGGACAUGCUUGGUAUACUGCUGGACUUGAGGCGGAUAGGGGUGCUUGGAACUCUAGGUGGAGCGGUGAAAUGCGUAGAUAUCUAGGGGAACGCCAGAGGCGAAAGCGGAGCACUGGGUCCGACCUGACACUGAGACGCGAAAGCGUAGGGAGCAAACGGG
This 253-nucleotide ribosomal RNA is filed under the name uncultured bacterium. RNAcentral's name for it is "partial 16S ribosomal RNA". It matches the Rfam family "Bacterial small subunit ribosomal RNA", at positions 524 to 776 of the family's 1533-position model. The record is from RNAcentral.